AGGGGAUCGCAAGACCUUGCGCUUUUGGAGCGGCCGAUGUCUGAUUAGCUUGUUGGUGAGGUAAAGGCUUACCAAGGCUUCGAUCAGUAGCUGGUCUGAGAGGACGGCCAGCCACACUGGGACUGAGACACGGCCCAGACUCCUACGGGAGGCAGCAGUGGGGAAUUUUGGACAAUGGGGGCAACCCUGAUCCAGCCAUGCCGCGUGAGUGAAGAAGGCCUUCGGGUUGUAAAGCUCUUUCAGCCGGAACGAAACGGUUACGAUUAAUACCCGUAACUACUGACGGUACCGGAAGAAGAAGCACCGGCUAACUACGUGCCAGCAGCCGCGGUAAUACGUAGGGUGCGAGCGUUAAUCGGAAUUACUGGGCGUAAAGCGUGCGCAGGUGGUUUUGUAAGUCAGAUGUGAAAUCCCCGGGCUUAACCUGGGAACUGCGUUUGAAACUACAAGGCUAGAGUGUGGCAGAGGGGGGUGGAAUUCCGCGUGUAGCAGUGAAAUGCGUAGAGAUGUGGAGAAACACCGAUGGCGAAGGCAGCCCCCUGGGUCAACACUGACGCUCAGGCACGAAAGCAUGGGGAGCAAACAGGAUUAGAUACCCUGGUAGUCCAUGCCCUAAACGAUGUCAACUAGUUGUCGGGUCUUAACGGGCUUGGUAACGUAGCUAACGCGUGAAGUUGACCGCCUGGGGAGUACGAUCGCAAGAUUAAAACUCAAAGGAAUUGACGGGGACCCGCACAAGCGGUGGAUUAUGUGGAUUAAUUCGAUGCAACGCGAAAAACCUUACCUACCCUUGACAUGUAUCGAAACCCGCAGAGAA
This 817-nucleotide ribosomal RNA is filed under the name uncultured bacterium. RNAcentral's name for it is "bacterial SSU rRNA". It matches the Rfam family "Bacterial small subunit ribosomal RNA", at positions 198 to 1007 of the family's 1533-position model. The record is from RNAcentral.